CUGUUGUCCCGUGAUUCAAAGUCACGCUCGCUGUCUCUCAACAUCUCUUUCUCUCGCUCAAUCCUCGAGCGACUACGGCUCCUCCUUGACCUCUCCCUCUCUCUAUCUUUCUCCUUCUCUCGCUCCUUAUCUCUAUCUCUAUCCCGAUCUCUACUCUUCCUAUCUCUAUCACGUUCCUUCUCCUUCUCCCUGUCUCUAUCCCUCUCUUUCUCUUUCUCUUUCUCUUUCUCCUUUUCCCUUCUCUCUCUGUCACGGUCUUUUGAGCUUCUCUCUUUGUCUCUCUCAGAUUCCCGUUCCCUACUCCGAUGCCUCGAUGACCUUUCCCUAUCUCUCUCCUUAUCCUUCUCUCUGAUACUUUCGCCGUCGCCGCGAGACUUUUUGCUGCUCCGGCGCUCUCUAUUGUCGUCAUCGGCGUAUUCCUCACUUCCGUCUCUCUCCCUUCGACGAUAGCCUUUCUCGCUCUUCUCCUUCUCGGCGCUGCUGUUAUUGUCUUUGUCUUUGCUCUUCGUAGAAGUGCCGUUAGUCUCUUCCACAGUCUUCUCCAGAUAAUCGUACUCGUCGAAGUCCAUUUGCGAUGAUGCUCUCUGCCGGUUGGCCGAUGGUCGGUGUUCCGCCGGUGUACUGGUUAGCUUUGACGGAACCCUAGGCCGUAGCGAACUUUGAGAUUAGGGUUUUUGCAACUGGUUCGAAGCUGAGAGGCUAUCAGGUCAGUUUUUCAGUAGUACUUUGUAUAUGAGGAUAUUUUCAAGUUUUAAUAUACUAGUAAUUUUUAACUCAAAUGGUCCCUCAAAUCUUAAGAUUGCUCUAUUUAUGUCCUCCUUGUAUAAUACAUUGCCAAGAAAGUCCUUCAUGUAUAUAAAACGGGGAAAAGGGUUAAAUAUGUCCCUAAACUAUUCGAAAAUGUUUAGAUAUACCCCGUUUGAAGUUUGGAUCACUUGUGCCCUCGCCGUCCAACUUUUCGCAUAGAUAUGCCCUUAUAGACGUUAGUUGGUUUACUGGAAAUAUCCAGCUCAUUUUCCUUUUCUUUAAAUGACAAAUGGAAUUGCCACGUCCUUUUUAAAUUACCACAUGAAAUUUAUAUUAAAAAUAACUACAUUAAUACACCUCUUUUAAAUAACCUAUUCGACUCGAAUAUCAACCCAUUUAACCCGUUCAUAUAUCAUAUCCGACCCAAAAACCAUCAUUUUUAACCCAUUAUCAAAGCCCUAAUUUGUUGCAAACUUCUCCAUUUCCAUCAAAAAAAAGCUUGUGGCGCUAGGAUUUACAGCUUGAAAGUAAGUCUUUUAUAUUCAGUAAAUUAUAUAAGUUUUGUUUUCCUGAAGGUACUGAUUUAUUCUCAUAUAUUCGAUUUUGUUACAUUUUCGUGUUAUGUUAGGGUUAUCUAAAUAAAGUCGACCUAGUGAGGCAUCUGUUGUAUUUGAUUUGUGUCUACCAAAAUCACAUAAAAUCUAUUGUUUAAUGUUAAAGGAUGUACUUUUUAUGCCUUUGUAAGCUUUGUUUUGUUUGUCUUUUGGUGGUCUCAGAUGAUGUUUGUCUUUUAGGGUUUAGUCUAUUAUAUUUUUGUAGCUUUUAAUGUGUUUGGUUUGAUGUUGUCCCUCUAAUUUUACUGUUUCUUUCAUGUAUUUUUGAAGGAUGAUUGAUGAAGCUGAAAUUGUGUUCAACUACUAGGUCCCUAAAAUUCACUAGUGGGCUCCUUUCAUCCACUAGGUCCCUAGAAUUCAGUCAGAUUCUUGAUUCGUUAUAUCUUGCUUAGAUAUUGGUUGUGAUUCAGCUAUUAUAAUAUUCGUAAUCAAUUUAUCAUGUUUUCGUGAAAUCAUUGCUUAGUUCUUUGCUUGAAACUUAGAACCCUAGUUGUGUAGAUUCUCUUGAUUCAUGAAUUACACUUGGUAUGUCAGUUAAACAUAUAAACAUGCUCCAGUAUCCGAAUGUUACAUUGUCAGUUCCUAAAUGUUGCAUUCUUAGAUUUUCAUGUCAGAACAUUGAGCUAUCCAGUAUUUCAGUUAUGUUAUGUCAUACAUAUUUCCAGUUGGGAGUAGGCUUAGCACCGAGUUGGACUAGGGUUCAGCGUACUCUCAUAGUCUUAGAACUACGUGCCUCCGUAGGUUUAUAAGUCCCCUCUGUGGGCAUCAGAUUUAAUGAUCAUGUCAGUCAUGCCUUUAUACCCCUGGCAAAGUAUAUUGGGUCCUCUCGAUGAGGCGUAUACAUCGGACUCCACGUUUAGCUCACGUGGUUUUAUGUCGGUUAAUAGUAGCUCCCUCAGUUAGACUCUCAGUGCAUUUGACUAGGUUUUCAACAUGUUAUUCUCAUGAUUAGUACUUGGUCAUUACAUUCAGCUUGGUUUUUCAGUUAUGUUUCAGUGUUUACAUUCUUGCUUAGUUAUGCUUUGUUCAACUUAUAUAUAUUUGUUCAGCUUAGUAUAUAUAUCUUGCAUGCUAGUACAUUCCAAGUACUGACACAUACUUUAUGCUACAUCCUUUCAUGAUGUAGGUUUAAGUAUUCAGCAUCCAGAUCACACUUAGAUCGACUAUCGAUCCGCAUUUCAGCAGCUUCAGUGGUGAGUCCUCAUACUUCGAGGACAAUAAACAUGUUUUUCACUUUAGUCUUUUUAUUCAGUUUUCAGUUUUGUUAGAGUUAGUUGGGGGGCAUGUCCCAGCAACUUAACUCAGUUAGAGAUUUUUCAAACAUAGUAAUAGAAUUAGCUUGAAUUGUUAAGUUCAUCUUUCAGUUGUUAUUAAACUCUUAGUAUGAUUUAUACAUUCAAACUAGUUGGGUAUUCCCCACUUUCAGUUAUCCAUUGUUUUAGCUUCCGCAUAGUACAUAUUUUAUUCAGUUAUUCUCAGUAUGCUUGAUAUAUGCGAGACACAGGGUUAGGCUUGGGGUCACUCGUGAUACGUCAAGAGGGUAGCCUCGGGGCGUGACAUUUUGUUUGUCUUUUAGUAGUCUCAAAUGAUGUUUGUCUUUUAGGGUUUAGCUUAUUAUAUUUUUGUAGAUUUUAAUGUGUACGGUUUGACGUGGUCCCUCUGAUUUUACUGUUUCUUUCAUGAAUUUUGAAGGAUGAUUGAUGAAGUUGAAAUUGUGUUCAACUACGGGGGUAGUUGGGUCAUUUCACCUCAGUUGGUUUACACUAAGAAAUUGGUGCACUCUUGGCUUAAUUUUAACCCUGAAUUAUUGAGUCAUAAAGAUAUAUGUGAUGAGUUUACUUCCAAGCUAGGGCUUUCUCGGGUUAAACAAUUGUUAGUGGGCCCUCUGAUAAGUAUUAUAUAGUAGAUGGGGAUAAUGGAACUAGGGUCAUCCUUAGCUUAUUAUAUGAGAAAUUUAAAGUCGGCAACUUCUUUAUUGUGGAGGAGGGUGAGCUCACAGUCUUUGCUCAAAAUAUCACACAAUAUUUUGAAUCAUGUUUUGUAGAUGUUGAGUUUCACUUCCCAAAGCUACUCCAGGACGUGGACAUGGGACCUAGGAUCACAAGUGACCCCAAGCUAACCCUGCUAGCAUAUCAUAAGCAUACUAAAUAUAAACUGAAGUAAAGAAAUAUUAUGCGGAAGCUAAUCGUAAGAUAAUCUGAAAUAAUGGGAAAUACUUAUACUAGAUCUUACUGUAUAAAUACUGAGAGUUUAACAACAACUGAAAAGUCAAACUCAAAUGCUAAAAUUGAAUCUAACUAUGUCUGAAAUAAGCCUCUAACUGAAUAGAAGUGCUGAGACAUGCCCCAGCUAAAUCUAGCAAAAACUGAAACUAAAGACUCAAAAUAGAAAAGAAACAUGUGUGUCGUCCUCGGAGAAUGAGGAUUCACCACUGAUGUUGUUUAACUGAAGAUCGAGAACCGAUCUAUGCGUGAUUUGAAAGCUGAUGACCUGAACCUACAUCACGAGUAGAUGUAGCGCAGAGUAUGUGUCAGUACUUGAUUGGGAGGCCAAGGGCCAAUGAGAUGUCCCAAUAUCCUUAUGUCCCAUUCUAUUUCUCCUCUAGCCAAAGAUGAUAAGUCCUCCUUGACUCAUUUCUUGAUCUUGGAGUCUUGAAUGUUAUGUGUGUCCUAUAAUUUCUUUGUCCCAUAGAGUUACUUUUGUUAACCUUGGUAGGGUUUGGAUGCAUGAUUAUUCGACCUCUAUUGGUUUUAGAAUCCGGUAAGGUUAUAAUGAGUCUUGAUAAUGCCUUGAGUUUGUUGAAAUGAGUAGUAUUUGAGGUUCUUUGUAAAAAGGGGCUUACUCCCAAGGGGGAGAUCAUGUGCUUGAAAAGCAACAUUGAUUGAAAGUCCCGAUAUCCUCAUCUUUUCUUCUAUUCCUAUUCUAGCUUGAGACCAAUAGUCCUUUUUUGGGCUUGUUCUAUAUCUAGGGGUCAUGAAUGUUUUAGAAAUUUCCAUGAGCUCCUUAUGUUUUGCAUGUUUUUGAAAGAUUCUUACUUUGUAUAAAAUGGAUUUUUCAUGAUUUACAUAUUCCUCAUGUUGUUGUGCAUUCUAGUAUGGUGAUGACAUAUUUGACUUCAUGAGAUGGUGUGAUGAACAUGCUUUGUUUUGUCCUUGAUGAAAUGGCACUUGGGCUCCAUGUUGAUUGUGUUGAGAUUGCUUUUAAUGAGAAAAUGUAAUUCUUCCUAUGAUUUUGGGAUUAAUGAUGUUUAGAAGUGAUUGUGUAGGCUCACUCCUAAGGGGGGAGAUGGUAUGCCUAGCUAAUAUUGUUGUUAUGUGCUUAUAUGUUGUCAUGACUUCUUUAUAUAAUGCAUGUUCAUGAAAAUUUGUGUUUUGGAGGAAAAUGAGUCCAUGUGAAUUGUUUCCCUCAUGUUGUGGUGCCUUGAGUAAGGGUUGCCUAUUGUACUUCAUGAGAAGAAUAAAUGAACAUGUCUUAGUUAAGAGUUGAGGAAUUCCUCAUUGAAUGAAAUGCUUCUUGAAAAUACAUUGCACAUGAGCUCCAUGAGAGUAUGUUAGACAUGCUUUAAUUAGGAGAUGGCAGUUCCUCCUUGAACAUGACAAGCUGUGAGAAUAUCUUACAUAAAAAGCUUCUUUAGAUAUAGUUCAUACUUCCUUGUAUUGCUUUGAUCAUAUUGAAUUGGAGUCGAUGUUACCACCUUUGAACAAGUGCGCAUUGUGAAUAGUGGAUUUUGAGUUGUGCAUUAUUGUGAUGUUUCAUGCAUGUUUGGGCUGCUAGUCUUGAGUCUUUAAUUCCAAAAAUUGUUUCAAGUGUCAUUCGAGGACGAAUGUUCCUAAGGGGGGAUAAUGUAACACCCCGCAAAAACUAGUAAGACCUAGCUAAUGCUUGACGGAAUCUAGUAGGUCAAACUAGAGCCUCACAUGUGAGUUUGAAGUUGGUAACUUGAUUAAAUGUUGUUAAAUGGUUCCCGAGUGAAGUUCAAGGAAUUUAGGGGUUAAACAUCACGAUACGACUAUAACACCCGGAAACUAGUAAGUUGAACUAUUGUGUUAUAGGGUCUUGUAGUGGAGUUUUGGAGUGUUGUAUGAGGGUUAAAACUCAUAUAAGUGACUCUCGUGCUUAGAAUGACAUGUUUAGGGGUUAAACAUCCGGGUACGACUCCCCAAGGACCACCCAAGGGGUUCUUGAGGAGGACCCCAACACUGCCCCAAAAGCUGUCAAAAACAGCUUGGUUCACGGAGGCAGAUCACGCCCCUUAGACCAGUCCACGCCCCAUAGGUCAUGAGCAUGGGUUAGGACUUAGUCUAGGAAGGCUUGGCCUUCAAUUUUGAGCCCCAGCCCCAAACCAAGGGGCCAAUAGACCCAUCCAUGGUCCGUGGAUGGGUGGGCGUGAAUGGGAGCAGUUUUCUAGAUUUUUGCUUUAAGUUAGGGGUCUUAGUUUUAGCUAGUUAUUUAAUUAGGGGUUAAGAGGGACGAUUAGGUAACUAAUUAACUUCCUAUAAAAACUAUUUUAAGUCAUUAAAACACUUCAUUAACUCAUUAUAACCCAAGAUCCCAAAUCAAAACCCAACUACUCUUCUCUCCCAAAAUCUUCUCUCUAGAACCCCAAUUGAAGAACCAAGAAGGAAAUCAAGUUAGAGCUUGAAGAAGGAAGUUUUUCACUAUGAAUUUGGAAGGAUUCUACACCUAUGGUAUUGGAGUUCUUCAUUCUUGGUUAGCUAUCACCAAGAAGCCCCUUCAACUAUGUUUUCAAAUUCCCCAAAUCUAGGUUUCCAAAUCUAGUCAUGGGUGGGUCUUCUUCCAAAACAAAUUCAAUUGUUUAAUUAAGGUUUAUUACGAUUGAUUUUGAUGAUUUAUGAUUGGAUUAAUGGAGUAUUGAUGGAUUUUGGUGAAAAUCUCCUUUGGACCCAUGAUUUUCCUUUCUUCCUAAAUUGUGAACUAAGGUGUGACUUGAUUGAUCAUGGAGACUUAACAAUUGAUUAUGUUUAUGUUUAUUAUGUUGUUGAAUCAUGAUCUCUCUCUAUAUAACAUGGUCAUUCUAGUAAGUUAGGGUUGAUGUUAGCCUUGAAAGGCAAUUUACUAGGGUUGUAUUUGUUGAUGAAGAUUGUAGAUGAACUUGUUGGUCCACUUGAAAGGUGGAGGUGUUUAAUUAUGAUGUAAUUGCAUGAUCUAAGUGUGAUUUUACAUGUAUACUUGAUUAACCUAAGAUUCUAGGGUUAUGUCAUGAAAGAGGCAAAUUGAGGGUUUGGAUGUGAACCUCUAAGAUUGAAUAACUUCUUGAUGAAUUGCCUUAGACUAGAUCACCUAGACUUGAAUUGGUUUAUGGUAAUGCUUCUAAACAUGAAUUUACUUGAUCAUGAUAUUAUGAUUGGAGGCUAUGUAUUGUGAAGAUGGAAUUGGUAUAAUAUUGAUGUUAGAGACCAUGCUUGUUAUUAUAAUGAUAUCUCUCAUGUUAUAAUGAAAUGUAUGUGAGUUGCCUUAUUGGUUGCAUUCUCCAACUAUUUCAAAGAUGAUAUUCAAAAAUGGCAUGUAGCAUGAUUUCAAAUGACAUGUCUUUUUUCAUGCAUGUUUUAAUGGUUUUGUGCAUGGCUUCCAUACUUAGUACUUUUUGUGCUAACCCCUUCUUUCUACAUUUUCUAUAAGUGUAGGCUUUGGAGAUAUUGGAUUCCAUCCUCGUGGCUUGGUUCAUAGGAGAUCAAGAAGAAAAAGAUUGACGAGUCCUCAUUGUAUUCGAGGGCUAAACCACAUGUCCUCUAUUGUCUUUACAUUUAUGUUUUAGACCUUUGUAAGGGCCGUGACGUAUUUCAAGAGUUUUAUUCCUAGUAUAAUAGAUGGUUUGAGACAUAGUGUCAUAGAUACUCUUUCACUUUAUUAAAUACUUCGAUUGUAAAAAAAAGUUUUAAAUUUUCCGUUAUUUUCCUAUGCUUUAAUGUUCAUGAUAUGCUAAGGGCUUGUAUAAGAGCCUUCGGGGUUAAGUACGCCAUGUUACGACUAGGGGGUGCUCUCGGGUCAUAACAAAAACUACGUAGUUUAGGAAUUAAAUGAUGUAGUUUAGGGGUCCAACGCAUAAAGGAAAGGACCAAAACAACCCUAACUUAAUUCUGGCGAAGCCCAUCCACGGAAGGAACGACCAUCCGUCAUUUGACCUACCGGCCAUUGUUUGGGUCCGUCGGUCAAUUCUGCCCGACAGGGCUUCACUAAAACGAGCAUAACUUUUUACUCGGAGAUAGAAUUUUAGCAAACUCGGUGGCGUUCGAAAGAUGAUUAAAUUAUCUAUCAUUAGAUAGGUCAUGGGCCACCUAAGUCAUUUUGUGCUAAGGGUUAUGUCCAUUUGAAGUUGAUCCAUCAACAAUUUCCCUCUAACUGGCUGCUGACCCUCACCUACGGCUCGUAGGUCCAACCACUGACCGUAUUGGUCGACCGUGGGUAGGAUCAGAGACUAUUAAGACUUGGGCCUUAACGACAGAACCAUACAUAUGGUCUGUGGUCCUACCUACGGUCCGUGGGUGGUUCCGUUGGUACUGACACCAAAUUUUUUGUAAACUAGAAUUUUCUUCGUUUUGAGAUUCGAGGUGUUACACUGAGGUUGGUAUGGAUUGUGAAUACAGUGUUGGUUAUGAUUGUGAAUGGGAUGUUUCUGAGGGUGAGAAAUGUGAUUAUGAGUGGAUGGAGGCUAUUAGCAAGGAAAGUGGAAGAGUAGCAGGUGACAAAUCGGAAAACUUCAAGAAAUUGUAAGUUGGUAUGACAUUUAAGGACAUGAAAAAAGGUAGACAUGUUCUGAAUUAUUAUGCAUUAGCUAACAAAAGGGCUUUGACUAUAAUCAAAGGUGAUACAAAGAGAACUAGAUAUGGUUGUGAUGAGGGGUGUCCCUUUAGGUGUUUGAUUUCAAGAGAUGGCAAAACUGUAGGGUUUAAGAUAAAGACUUUCAUCAAUUAACACAUGUGAGGAGGCCUUUUUUAAUCGUAGAUAUGCUUCAACCACUUUAGCUCAAUACUUCAAGAACAAGCUUCAAAAUAACCCCAAGUAUAAGGUAAAAGAUAUGAGAAGAGAGCUUGAAAAUGAUUUAAAAUUGAAUGCGUGUCAAUUGAUCCAAACUUAAAAUGGCUAAGAGGAUGGCUAUUGAGAAGUUGGAGGGUAGUUUUAUAGAUGACUACAACAAGCUUGAGGCCUAUGCAAUACAAUCCCAAAAGUGAUGUUUUGAUAAAUAUCUCUAAGGAUUCCCUAGCUGAAGGAAAAAUAAUAUUUUUUGAGGAUGUACAUGUGUUUUGAUGCUUAAAAAAGGCUAGAAAUCUGGUUUGAGGGUAUUAAUUGGACUUUAAGGUACAUUCUUGAAAGGCAUAUGUAAGGGUAUGUUAUUGGUUGCACUAGGACCAAAUUCUAUGAACAGUUUCUAUCCACUAGCAUGAGAAAUAGUGAACAAAGAAACAAGCAGGACAAAACAAGCAGAACAUGGUGCUGGUUCAUUGAGUUAUUGAAUGGGUCUUUGGACCUUAAAGAUGAUGCAUGAAUCACAUUCAUUUCAGAUAUGCAAAUAGUAUGAUUCUCAAUUUUUACUUUCUGUUUUUUACUAUAAGAUUCUCAUAUUUGAAUUUCAUGUUCUCAUUUGUUUUGUUUCACUAUUGCAGGGAUUGUUAGAUGCUAUUGACAAAGUGUUGCCCGAAGCUUAACAUAGGUAUUAUAUGAGACAUAUUGAGAGUAACUGGUGCAAAAAAUGGAGGAGUGAUCAAAUGAGGAAGCUUAUGUGGUGGUUUGCUUGGAGCUCAUAUGAUGAAGAGUUCAAGGACCAGUUGAAUAAGUUGGAAAAAUUAUCAAAAGAUGGUGCAAGGGAUUUGGUGAAUUAUCCACCAAAGGCAUGGUGUAAAGCUUAUUUUUAUAUUCACCGUAAGAACAUGAUGGUUGAUAACAACUUCACUGGGUCAUUCAAUACAUGGAUUCUUGAGGCUAGAGCAAAGCCAAUAAUCAAGAUGUUAGAAGACAUAAGAGUACAAGUGAUGAGAUUGCUAGGGAAAAUGAAAAAAAAUUUGAGGACUUAGGUUACUGAUUUCGAUUUGAGAAUGCAUGAAGUUGUACAUUGACUUCAGGGCCAUAACACAUGGUUGUAAGGUGGAAUUCAAUGAAAGAUUGGGGCUAUGAAGUGUCUGUUGGAUAAGAUAGAUGCACUGUCAAUCUAGAGCAAAAAAAUGCACUUGCAGAAUUAGGGAUUUAUUAGGUCUUCCCUGCCCUCGUGCUAUCAAAGCAUUGACACACAAAAAAAAAUAAUCUCAAAACUGAAAUACAUUGAUGGUAUAGCAAGGAGGCUUACAUGUUAUAACCUAUAAAAACAACAAGAUGUAACCUGUUAGAGGUCAGAAGUUUUGGAAAGUUGAUCCUUGAAGUGUAGUGUUGCCUCCUGAUGUAGUGAAACAAAUGGAUAGACCUAAAAUGAAGAGGAAUAUAGAACCAAAUGAAGCAAGAAAAAGAAAAGUUGAAUGGUCUCAGUCCAGAAAGGGCACUCAAAUGACAUGUAGUAACUGUGGUGAACCAAAUCACAAUGUGAGGGGUUGUUACAAGGUAAGCUACAAAAUACUUAUUGGCAAUAUUUCAUGCCUUUUAUUGUAAGCUAAUUGACAAUAUGCUUAAUAAUAAAAAAAUAUAUAUAGGAAAAGUGUACUAAAAAUAAUGCACAUUCAAGGAAGGAAAAAGACCAUGUCUGGAAUAUGAGAACGAGGUUGGUAUACAAAAGUUUACUUAUCGACCACAAACUGCAACACAAGAGUUUGAACCUCCUGAUGUUGGAAAAUGAAUAAGACACACAUCUACGAUCAAUAGUGAUUUGUGAAUCAGAGUUAAGGGGUGAGAAGUUGAAGACAAGAAUUGUUCCAACUGGUACAAGAAAAAUUGAAUUUGCUGGAGAUCACACUGGUGCCUCAAUGCCAACUAAUAUGUCUUAUUCUCCGAUCCAAACAACAUGGAAGGGAAAAGAAGAUGACUUUGCUGGACAUGUGCAAAUGGAGGCAAUAAAGAAAAGAAUCAAGAUGAUGGGGUUAAGGGGAGAGGGCAACCUACACCCGAUGAUGAUUCAUCGUAAUUUAUUUUAUAUGUUAAUUUUUGUGUGAAUGCUCAUGGUUAACCACAGUUGGUUGACAUACAAUAUAGCUAAUAGUAAUUUUUUGGGGCUAGUUCAUGAGGAUUAAGUUAGGUGAAAUUUUUAUAUGCCUUUAUAGAAUGACAUUAAUGACACCUUAUUUUGGUUGUGUUUAUCUUAUUUGUCCUUUUCAAUUUAUGUGGAUUUAUGACAUCAUUGCAGUAUUAUUGAUAUUUUCAAAUUAUUUAUACAAUAUGUGCCAUGCCUCUUAAGUAAUACAGGUUACAAGGCCUAAAGUUAUACAAUAAGAAUGUAAAUUCCAAACUGUAGUUUAUCUUCAAGAAAUAUGGUGGCUUGAGUUCCAAUUUUAUGCCUAUUCUUUUGACUUUGAUUUGGUAAGGCGACAAAGUAGUACAAACGUUGUACCAACAAAGUUAUCUAAUUAAAAUUGAAUUAUCAAAUAUGUUUGCUACAACAUUACAAUUGUUGCUAUAUUGAAAUUAACAUAUCAUAUAAACAAAAAUAUAUACUAGAAUUCAAAAGUCAUGAACCACAUCACACAUGUUUAACGUUUUCUAAGUUAAAGAUUACAAAAUACACAUGACAAAAGGUUAGAAAUUCCUAUUUCAUCACCAAAAAUGUGAUGAAUGCUGCAAAACAACACCGCAACGUAGCUAUCACAAUCAACAUUUUAUAAACAUUUUUCUUAAACUUAUCGAUAUUAACCUCUUCAUUAUCGACAACAGCCUCCUCACUUUUGGUAAUUUCAUCUAGACGUUCACAAUUUUCUUCAAUAUCAGAUGUCAAACACUUUUCAAGAUCAGUCAUCCUCGUCUCCAAAGCUUUCUUUUCACGAUGAAGAUUAUCGUUUUCCUUAUUUAUAUUGUGGAUGAGAUUUGCAACUCUAGGAUGGAGUGUAUCAUCAACCCAUUUCCAAUAAUCACAUUUAUAACCCUGCACAAUUAUGAACUUGAAAUCAACAAUGGCCAAAAAUAUGAAAAUUAAUGAAAUUGUAUGAUAAAUUUACAUUAGACUUAGAAAACUUAUAAAAGCGUCUUCCAGCAUUCGUUGGAGUGAAAACUGUGAAAAUUCUCGUUGCAAUACCACAUUGACAGUUCAUUGUUGACCAACUCGAAACACUCGAGUCCUGACUCAUUUUUUUGAAACUUGAAUGGUGGAAGAUGACUAGAACACUCUUUUUAUUAUCGUGCGAGCUUCUUGAAAUGAAAUCGAUGGGGGUAAUGAGGUUUCUCAAGAACCCUAGAGCCGCGAUUUUGAUGGUAAUAAAGAAGGGACAUGAUAUACGAACAUGUUAAAUGGGUUGAUACCCAGGUCAGAUAAGUUAUUUAAAAGAAGUGUAUUAAUUUAUUUAUUUUUAAUAUAAAUUCCAUGUGUCAAUUUAAAAAGGAUGUGACAAUUCCAUUUGUCAUUUAAAGAAAGGGCAAAUGAGCUGGAUAUUUCCAUCAAACAGCCUAACGUUUAUAAGGCAUAUCUACGCAAAAAGUUGGACGACUGUAACGAUCGGGUUUCAUCGUUAUAUAAAUGCCAACGGGGAAAAAAUUGGGCCCGAAAAAACUUUUUCGUAGUAUUUGGAUUUUCCCAACCUUGUCCAGAUUUAGAGAAAAUCGGAGUCACCAAGGUGUAAGGAAAUCUAGUAACAAUCGGGUGGAGUAAUUAUGGUUUUGAUUGCAUGAGUGGUUAGAUAACUUGUUAAGGAAUCCGUAUGACUUUACGAAAUUAAAUUUGGGUGAGUAGAUCUCCGGGAAUCGAUCUUAGCGUGAAGGGUAUUUUCUGAGCAUUGUGGGUUAGAAGUGUGUUGUGGUGGAAUGGGGAUAUGGAAUUUUUUAAAAUAACUCUCUGUUUCAAAAAUGCCACUUUGGCGCUGGGUUUGGCCGCUCUGGCGGGAUAUGGGGCGUUGUGGCGGGUAUGACGCGACUCAAAAUCGUAGGUGAAAGACGAAGGGCUCACUGUUAAGCGAAAGCCGCUACAGCAGGAUGAGGGCCACUGCAGCGGUCCCGACGCGACUUAAACUCGUUAACAAAUCCCUAAACGACCUCAUUAUGCACUUUUCGACCUUUUGAGCUAAGGAACGACCCCCAGGUGACUCUUACUCGUUUCACACCAUUCUUGAGGCUAAAUGUAAGCUUUUCACUCCCCGAAUAGGUUUUUUGAUCCGUAGAACGUAAUAGAAUGGGUGAAUAUUGAUGAGGAAGGGUUUCGUGAUAAAUUCUAUGGUGGAAACAACCCUAAAUUGGAUGAUUGAGAUCAUGGGUUUGAUCUAGGGUUCAUAGAAUUGUUAUAGUUUCGGGUAAUUAGCAAUUUUUUAUUGAUUCCCAUAAUAUAUUGAUUGUUUGUAGACUAAGAACAAGCGGAAUGAAUCCGGAAAGAGAAGGAUCAAGUUUCUCAAGGUUUCAAGGUUGUUUCGAGGUAGGUGAUGAUUGUGAUUCUAUGUUUGUGUGAGCAUGCUUGUUCUUGCUUCAUUAUGAUACUUGUAUAUGUAUGAAUGUUUCAAUGUUGAUUACACUUGUUGUAAAUGAGAUAGAUGAAAUAUCAUUGCCAUGAAAUCAUGGCUUAAAUAUAUGAUCUUGAUGAUGUACUUGUGUUUAUGAUUGUGGUGUGUGAAUGGGAUCGGAUUGCCACGUUCCGGCAUAAUAUUGGUUCGGAUUGCCACGUUUCGGCAUGCUAACUGUUUGGGUUUGGGUUCCAUGAGAGGACCAAUGAUGUGACGUAAAAUGUGAAAUGCGUUGUUGAUUCUUCAUGUUAAUAAUAUUGUAUAUGUUGAUUUAUAUACAUGUAAUUAUAAUGUUGCUUGACUUGUUUAUGUUGCACUAGUGGGAUAGCCGUGUGAUUCUUCCAGUACAUUGUGGUUGUAUACUGAUACUGCACUUGCUCUUAUUUUGUUGAGUACAGGGCAUCUUCAUGCGACUAUUGACAGACCUCGCUUAGAAGAUCAGUAAUUGUCGCUUCGAAUUCAAGGGUGAGCCAAUUCUUCCGGGCUGCCAUGUGAUUCUCUUUCGUCUAUGUCCAUCAUUUCUGGACUUAGAUAUUUGUUCUAGUUAGUUGAUUAGUUCAUUAGUUAGGGAUAUAUCCCUUCUUGUUUAGACUUGGAUAAUUUGUUUAGAUGUUUUGGAACAUUGAUUUUCAGGUUCUAGGUUGUUUCUUCCGCAUUUGUUUAGUAUAGUUCUUCAGAUUUCUUGUUGAAGUUUAUGAGAACUUCAUUAAUUAGUUAUCUAAUCUGUUUUCGUAGUUUAAAUGCCUUAGUUUUGGUUUAGUUGCUUGUUUUGAGUUGUAGUAAUGGUU
This 13722-nucleotide long non-coding RNA is filed under the name Solanum tuberosum (potato). RNAcentral describes it as "long non-coding RNA (STUB_LNC010527)". Lineage: Eukaryota; Viridiplantae; Streptophyta; Magnoliopsida; Solanales; Solanaceae. The record is from RNAcentral.